RNAcentral lists this ribosomal RNA (993 nucleotides) under Ariosoma balearicum (bandtooth conger). RNAcentral's name for it is "partial 16S ribosomal RNA". It matches the Rfam family "Bacterial large subunit ribosomal RNA", at positions 1283 to 2788 of the family's 2925-position model. Lineage: Eukaryota; Metazoa; Chordata; Actinopteri; Anguilliformes; Congridae. The record is from RNAcentral.
UGGGAAAGACAAUGCUAAAAUGAGUAAUAAGAAAGUACAAGACUUUCUCCAAGCGUAAGUGUAAGUCAGACCGGACAAACCGCUGAUAAAAACCGGGCCCAACAAAUAAAAGGGAAAAGAAGUAAGAGAAAAUACAACAAGAAAAAUCUACUAAAAGGAACCGUUAUUCCAACACAGGAGCGCAAGUAAAGGAAAGACAAAAAGAGAAAGAAGGAACUCGGCAAAUAAAAAUCCCGCCUGUUUACCAAAAACAUCGCCUCUAGCCAACAAACAUGUAUUAGAGGUCCCGCCUGCCCAGUGACGAUUAGUUCAACGGCCGCAGUAUAAUGACUGCGCUAAGGUAGCGUAAUCACUUGCCUUUUAAAUAAAGACCAGUAUGAAUGGCAUAACGAGGAUUUAACUGUCUCCUUAACCUAGUCAAUGAAAUUAAUCUAUCCGUGCAGAAGCGGAUAUAAGUACAUAAGACGAGAAGACCCUAUGGAGCUUUAGGAUACGGGGCAAGCAUAUCAAGAAUCAUAAAAACAGAACAUAUUUAAACCUAUGUAAUAUGACCUCCUUCCUUAGGUUGGGGCGACCCUGAGGCAAAAUAUAGCCCUCAUAUGGAAAUAUAAAAGAUAAACUCUAAUUUAGUCUUUUAAACCAAGAGUGACAACUCUAAGAAAUAGAACAUCUAACCAAAAAUGACCCAGGAUAAAUAAACCUGACAACUGGACCAAGUUACCCUAGGGAUAACAGCGCAAUCUUCUCUUAGAGUCCCUAUCGACGAGAAGGGUUACGACCUCGAUGUUGGAUCAGGACAUCCUAAUGGUGCAGCCGCUAUUAAGGGUUCGUUUGUUCAACGAUUAAAGUCCUACGUGAUCUGAGUUCAGACCGGAGAAAUCCAGGUCGGUUUCUAUCUAUGAAGCAGUUCUUCCCCAGUACGAAAGGGCCGGGAAGAGAGGGCUAAUACUACAAGCAAGCCCUAUCCUUAAUCUCUGAGUUAUUAUAAAGAGG